AUCUAUGGCCAUGCUACCCUGAACAAGCCUGAUCCUGUCUGAUCUCGGAAGCUAAGCAGGGUUGGGCCUGGUUAGUACUUGGAUGGGAGACCACCUAGGAAGACCAGGUGCUGUAGGUG
RNAcentral lists this ribosomal RNA (119 nucleotides) under Pteropus alecto (black flying fox). The record is from RNAcentral. Lineage: Eukaryota; Metazoa; Chordata; Mammalia; Chiroptera; Pteropodidae.